AAUGUUUCUCAUGAAUGCUCCUCCAGUGGUUGCUCUCCAGCCCAAAUGGGAGGCCUCUGUCCCACCAGGGAGCUUUAGGUUCCCCGGGUGCUUCUCGGAGGCUGACAAGGGCGUGGAGAGCAUGUCGGUGAGCACCCGGGUGCAGAUGCUCAUCAGCACGCUGCAGAGCGACAGGGCUGCUAGGGGCACCAGCGAUGAGCGCACUGCGCAGAGGGGGCAGAGGGAUGCCACGACGCCAGGCCUGCUGCCAAGCCCACCAUGCACAAGGAGCUGCCUGCGUUGGCUGCCUGUGGUCUUGUUGCUGACUUUGACCCCGUGGGGGAGGAGGAAACUGCAGACUUUGGCCCAUUGGUGCUAGAUUCAGACAGUGACGAUUCCGUGGACCGGGACAUUGAGGAGGCCAUCCAGGAGUACCUGAAGGUAAAGAGUGGAGCCGCACAGCCCGGGGCCAGCGGGGCCCAGCCAUGCACAGCCUUCCAGGGCUGCAGGCGGAGGCAGUAGAUGUAAGCGGGAACUGGCUCACAGCAGUGCCCAACUGCCCUGUGUUCCCCAAAACUUGUACCUGGCUCAGGUGGUGUGGCCCUGGCAGCCAGGUGGGAUCCAGCAAGGACCAGGGCUCUGCCUCCCCAGUCAGCAUGAGCAGAGCAGACUCCUUUGAGCAGAGCAUCAGGGCAGAAAUAGAACAGUUUCUGAAUGAGAAAAGACAGCAUGAGACCCAAAAAUGUGAUGGGUCAGUGGAGAAGAAACCAGACACACAUGAAAAUUCGGCGAAGUCACUCUCGAAAUCCCACCAAGAGCCGGCUACAAAGGUGGUGCACCGGCAGGGCCUGAUGGGCGUCCAGAAGGAGUUCGCCUUCUGCAGACCUCCCCCGGUUAGCAAAGACAAACGUGCAGCCCAGAAGCCUCAGGUCCAAGGUCACGACCACGACCACGCAGGAGAAGGAGGGCAGCACAAAGCCAGCAACCCCCACCGCCCUUCAGAAGCAGUACAGAAUAAAAGUGGGAUUAAAAGGAACGCCAGCACCGCAAGGAGGGGAAAGCGAGUCACGAGCGCCGUACAGGCGCCCGAGGCGUCCGACUCCAGCAGCGACGACGGCAUUGAGGAGGCCAUCCAGCUGUACCAGGUGCAGAAAACACACAAGGAGGCCGACGGGGACCCGCCCCAGAGGGUCCAGCUCCAAGAGGAAAGAGCACCUGCCCCUCCCGCACACAGCACAAGCAGCGCCACAAAAAGUGCCUUGCCAGAGACCCACAGGAAAACACCCAGCAAGAAGAAGCCAGUGCCCACCAAGACCACGGACCCUGGUCCAGGGGAUCUGGACGCUGACCAUUCCCCCAAGAUCCCAAAGGAAACCAAAGCUCCACCUCCAACGAGCCCGGCUUCCAGGAGCAAGUUUGUGGAAUGGUCCUCUUGCCAGGCAGACACCUCCGCUGAGCUGAUGUGUGUAGAAGCAGUCCUGGACAUUUUCAAGACGAUCCUGCCGGCCCUAUGGAGGGCAGCGAUGGGUCCCUGUCCGCAAGCCCACUCUUCUACUCCCCCAACGUGCCUUCCCGCUCUGAUGGUGACAGUAGCUCCGUGGACAGCGACGACAGCAUUGAGCAGGAAAUCUGGACGUUUUUGGCCCUCAAGGUGCAGUCUAGAAGUUUGCUGGCCAGAGGUGAGAGCUGCCCUCAGGCUGCCCAGGGCCCACUUUCACCACCUGGCCUCAGCAGCCAGACCGGCAGCCCCAAGGCCCCUCUCUCUAAAACACUGGACCCACUCCUGGCUGCAAAAGGAAGCAUAGAGGCGGCUGCCAAGUGAGGCCAUCCACUCCCAAGAACAUGCGGGUGGUGGGGAAAGAGGGUUGGCCAGGAUGCCGACCGCAGCCAGGGGAGAGCCGGGCCCGGCCAUGAGGGGCGGGACCUUUCCAUCCAGGGCACAGCCAGCGAGGCCCCGGGAUGGGAGGGCGCCGCUAGGGUGGGACCUUUCCAUCCAGGGCACAGCCAGCGAGGCCCCGGGAGGAGAGGGCGCCGCUAGGGUGCCCGGUGACACUCGCACGUCACAGGGCCAGGGUAAGACAGACGAGGCAAGGCACCUAGACAAGAAGAAGAGCUCCGAAGACAAAAGCAGUUCCCUGGACAGUGACAAGGACCUGGACACAGCCAUCAAGGACUUGUUAAGGUCCAAGUGAAAGCUCAAGAAGAGGUCCAGGGAGCCCAGGGCUGUGUGCAGGAAGAAGGUCAGGUUCAGCACCUCCCAGACGCACUUCCAGGAGCAGCUGGGCAGGCUCCUGAGAGAGUGGAAAAACAGGCACCUGCAGGUGCUGAAGAGCUGCCUAAGUCCAAGAGAGACAGCUGCGAGGGCUCCAGGAAGAAACCCCCCAGUGUCUUUGGCAGCAGGGCCGAGAGGACGAAGCCCCGGCCUUCCUGGUGAGGAGACCCGCUUCUGCCUCCGCCUCCGAAGAGAAUCUAUUCCCCAGAGAGUCCCAGGGCCCAGCUCCCAGCCUUGGCUCCUUGUCUGACAACAGCAGUUCAGUGGACAGCGACGAUAGCAUCGAACUGGAGAUUAGGAAGUUUUUGGUGGAAAAGGCCAAGGAGUCGGUGAGCAGUUCAGAAGUUCAGGCAGAGGGCCCCACCGCUCUCGGGACAGGGGGCCCAGCCAGGCCAGAGGUACCUUGCAGGAAGGAGCCGGCCCCACUGCCUGGCAUGUGCACACGGAGCCAGAGGGCCGGGGGGUCCCACAUUUGGCUAAAGGGCAUCGAGGCGCAGGGAGCGCAGGAGCACAGGGCGCAGCGUGCCUGCUCAGCCAGGGUGGGAAGGGGCUCCCCACUGAUCCGGCGGAGGGGAUCAUGCGCCACCCAGGAGGACCAGCGGCAGUGUCUCCGCCAAGGUCUCUCAGUGAGCAAGAGAAAUGUUUACGUUUACAAAGACCAGAGCCCACGAGGGGCUGAGCCUGCUGCCAAAAGUGCUUUUGGUCAGCGGCCCAGCUGUGCCACAGCGGGCACCGAGGCAGGAGGAGCCAGGGGGACCUUUCACGUGGACUGCAGGAACCGGAGCUUCCUGACCCCCAGCCCGGGAGCUGAGAGGGAUGCUGGAGCCCAGGCCAACCGCGCCCCGCCCUGGAGUGACUUUGCCCACCACAGUCAGCUGCCCAGCCCAUGGGCACUGCGCUCCAAAGGUAGAGAUGCGGCGUGGAGGGGGCGGCAUUGGGAGAGAGAGACAAGGGGUCCGAGGGCCCCACCCGGGGCCUGCCCAGCCUGCCCCUUGCGGGCUUCUCCCCGCUGCUGUCCACCCAGCUCUUCCACUUUGGAAAGGGUGUCUCCUGGGGGGGCAGGGAGACCGGCCUCUUCAGCCCCUACCUGGGGCUGCCUCUGCAGGGCCUGUCCUUCUCGGCCUUCAGGGAGUCCCAGGCCAGGCCCAGCCCUGUCUUUGGAAGCCCACACUUGCUGGCGAAGAAGGACUGCGGUCACCGGCCAAGCAGGAAGGUACAGACGGGGCUGAGUUUGCACAACAGGAAGAGCUCUGGCUCGGAGGAAAGGAUUUUAGACCUGAGGUAUCCACGAAGGGUCAAUCAGUAGAGUUGACCAGGACCAGGACACCUUGGGCAGGGACACCAGUGAUUUCAGCAACACCUCCGCAGAGGUGUUGCUGCUGCAGUGGCGGCAGCUCAGUAGUGAAGGUAUAA
This 3664-nucleotide long non-coding RNA is filed under the name Homo sapiens (human). Its description in RNAcentral is "non-protein coding lnc-RIMBP3B-3:1". Lineage: Eukaryota; Metazoa; Chordata; Mammalia; Primates; Hominidae. The record is from RNAcentral.